RNAcentral lists this ribosomal RNA (494 nucleotides) under uncultured bacterium. RNAcentral's name for it is "partial 16S ribosomal RNA". It matches the Rfam family "Bacterial small subunit ribosomal RNA", at positions 28 to 507 of the family's 1533-position model. The record is from RNAcentral.
GACGAACGCUGGCGGCGUGCUUAACACAUGCAAGUCGAACGGAAAGGCCUGCUUUCCCUUGUGGAUUGCGGGUACUCGAGUGGCGAACGGGUGAGUAACACGUGAGUGAUCUGCCCCCAACUUGGGUAUAAGCCUGGGAAACUGGGUCUAAUUCCCGAUAGGACUGCAGGGUGGUGCCUGUGGUGGAAAACGAUUUUCUAGUGGUUGGGGAUGAGCUCGCGGCCUAUCAGCUUGUUGGUGGGGUAAUGGCCUACCAAGGCGGCGACGGGUAGCCGGCCUGGGAGGGUGGACGGCCACAUGGGGACUGAGAUACGGCCCAGACUCCUACGGGAGGCAGCAGUGGGGAAUAUUGCACAAUGGGCGGAAGCCUGAUGCAGCGACGCCGCGUGGGGGAUGACGGCCUUCGGGUUGUAAACUCCUUUCGACCGCGAGGAAGCCACCUGGUUGGAAGGGUGGUGACGGUAGUGGUAGAAGAAGCACCGGCUAACUACGUG